AACGAACGCUGGCGGCAGGCUUAACACAUGCAAGUCGAACGGGUGUAGCAAUACAUCAGUGGCAGACGGGUGAGUAACACGUGGGAACCUUCCUAGGGGUACGGAACAACUCAGGGAAACUUGAGCUAAUACCGUAUACGUCCGUGAGGAGAAAGAUUUAUCGCCCUUAGACGGGCCCGCGUCGGAUUAGCUAGUUGGUGGGGUAACGGCCUACCAAGGCGACGAUCCGUAGCUGAUCUUAGAAGGUGAUCAGCCACACUGGGACUGAGACACGGCCCAGACUCCUACGGGAGGCAGCAGUGGUGAAUCUUGGACAAUGGGCGCAAGCCUGAUCCAGCCAUGCCGCGUGAGUGAAGAAGGUCUUCGGAUUGUAGAGCUCUUUUGCCAGGGACGAUAAUGACGGUGCCUGGAGAAUAAGCCCCGGCAAACUUCGUGCCAGCAGCCGCCGUAA
This 451-nucleotide ribosomal RNA is filed under the name uncultured bacterium. RNAcentral's name for it is "partial 16S ribosomal RNA". It matches the Rfam family "Bacterial small subunit ribosomal RNA", at positions 29 to 523 of the family's 1533-position model. The record is from RNAcentral.